This is a non-coding RNA of Arachis ipaensis, 443 nucleotides long. The record is from RefSeq and is a predicted model, not a curated record. Lineage: Eukaryota; Viridiplantae; Streptophyta; Magnoliopsida; Fabales; Fabaceae.
CUGGUUAAACAUAAUAGGUUUAAAGAGAAUGUAGCAGCCGCUGUUCUAUAACAAGGAGAACCCUAACCCCAGUUCAUCACACCUAGAAGCAGAAACGUCGACCCCUUCUAACGUAUGUAACGGUCCGGGCUUUAAGGUAACUCCUCGCCCUUGUCGUCUGGUAUUUCAGAAGUGUGAAUUUGUGGGUUAUUUAUAUUGUAAUGCCGCUGUGUGUUGCUAUGAUUCAUUGUUUGAUUAAUUGUAAGGUGGGGGUUAUGAGUGGGGGAGAGAUCUGGAUUACCUCGGAACAAAGACACCGCGGGAUAAGGAGGAAGAGUUCCGGUGCUUUGAUGAGGGUGAUUACCCUUGGGAUGCGCACUGAAGAGGGAAUUGUGUAGGUGGCGUACAGUAGAACUGGAAAAAAGGCGAUGAGUGAUGCAGACCCUAACCGAUAUUGUGUUGUU